CGGCAAAAGCUCAAAUUUGAAAUCUGGCACCUUCGGUGUCCGAGUUGUAAUUUGAAGAAGGUAACUUUGGAGUUGGCUCUUGUCUAUGUUCCUUGGAACAGGACGUCACAGAGGGUGAGAAUCCCGUGCGAUGAGAUGCCCAAUUCUAUGUAAAGUGCUUUCGAA
RNAcentral lists this ribosomal RNA (165 nucleotides) under Debaryomyces hansenii. RNAcentral's name for it is "partial large subunit ribosomal RNA". It matches the Rfam family "Eukaryotic large subunit ribosomal RNA", at positions 99 to 261 of the family's 3401-position model. The record is from RNAcentral. Lineage: Eukaryota; Fungi; Ascomycota; Pichiomycetes; Serinales; Debaryomycetaceae.